Molecule: ribosomal RNA, 452 nt
Filed under: uncultured bacterium
Lineage: Bacteria
Description: partial 16S ribosomal RNA
Rfam family: Bacterial small subunit ribosomal RNA
Source: RNAcentral
GAUGAACGCUGGUGGCGUGCCUAACACAUGCAAGUCGAGCGAUUCUCUUCGGAGAAGAGCGGCGGACGGGUGAGUAACGCGGGGGUAACCUGCCCUGUACACACGGAUAACAUACCGAAAGGAAUGCUAAGACGAGAUAACAAGCAUUGAUCGCAUGGUAGAAGUAUCAAAGCUUUUGCGGUACAGGAUGGACCCGCGUCUGAUUAGCUAGUUGGUGAGGUAACGGCUCACCAAGGCGACGAUCAGUAGCCGACCUGAGAGGGGGAUCGGCCACAUUGGAACUGAGACACGGUCCAGACUCCUACGGGAGGCAGCAGUGGGGAAUAUUGCACAAUGGGCGAAAGCCUGAUGCAGCAACGCCGCGUGAGCGAUGAAGGCCUUCGGGUCGUAAAGCUCUGUCCUCAAGGAAGAUAAUGACGGUACUUGAGGAGGAAGCCCCGGCUAACUACGUG